GAUGAAGAACGUAGCGAAAUGCGAUAAGUAAUGUGAAUUGCAGAAUUCAGUGAAUCAUCGAAUCUUUGAACGCACAUUGCGCCCGCCAGUAUUCUGGCGGGCAAGUCUGUUCGAGCGUCAUUUCAACCAUCAAGCCCCCGGCUUGUGUUGGGGACCUGCGGCUGCCGCAGGCCCUGAAAACCAGUGGCGGGCUCGCUAGUCACUCCGAGCGUAGUAAUACAUCUCGCUCAGGGCGUGCUGCGGGUUCCGGCCGUUAAAAGCCUUAUUUUACCCAAGGUUGACCUCGGAUCAGGUAGGAAGACCCGCUGAACUUAAGCAUAUCAAUAAGCGGAGGA
Molecule: unclassified non-coding RNA, 335 nt
Filed under: soil metagenome
Description: partial contains 5.8S ribosomal RNA, internal transcribed spacer 2, and large subunit ribosomal RNA
Rfam family: 5.8S ribosomal RNA (bases 1-120)
Source: RNAcentral